This 58-nucleotide small RNA is filed under the name Arabidopsis thaliana (thale cress). RNAcentral's name for it is "ATSL200710". The record is from RNAcentral. Lineage: Eukaryota; Viridiplantae; Streptophyta; Magnoliopsida; Brassicales; Brassicaceae.
ACACUAAACCUUAAACCUUAAACCCUAAACAUAAAUCCUACACCCUAAACUCCAAACC